UCGCAAUAUAAAGUCAAAAGAAGAAAAAGCCUGGAAGGAGGAGAGCUGACUAGAAACGAUUCGGUUGACCAUUUUAUGUAUGGAUUUAUUGGCGGAGUAGAGGACCUUGUGCAUUUCAGUGGUGGAAUGCCAUCCAACAGAAUAAUGACUGACUUUUCAAAAUCGACAGUGAUGGUGAAACCUAUUUAGGGCAUUACAAAUAUAGCACGGUUAAUGGAGCCAUUCCAGAGUCCCCAUGCGAUUGACA
Oncorhynchus nerka (sockeye salmon) is the source of this 247-nucleotide long non-coding RNA. RefSeq lists it as uncharacterized. Lineage: Eukaryota; Metazoa; Chordata; Actinopteri; Salmoniformes; Salmonidae. The record is from RefSeq and is a predicted model, not a curated record. The transcript has 3 exons.